Molecule: ribosomal RNA, 253 nt
Filed under: uncultured bacterium
Lineage: Bacteria
Description: partial 16S ribosomal RNA
Rfam family: Bacterial small subunit ribosomal RNA
Source: RNAcentral
GACGUAGGGGGCCAGCGUUGUUCGGAAUUACUGGGUGUAAAGGGUUCGUAGGCGGUGCGGCAAGUCGGGAGUGAAAUCUCUGGGCUCAACCCAGAGGCUGCUUCCGAAACUGCUGUGCUUGAGUGUGGGAGAGGCGCGUGGAAUUGCAGGUGUAGCGGUGAAAUACGUAGAUAUCUGCAGGAACACCCGUGGCGAAAGCGGCGCGCUGGACCACUACUGACGCUGAAGAACGAAAGCUAGGGGAGCAAACGGG